UGUGACUGGUUGACCAGAGGGGCGUGCACUGUGUUCACCCUGUGGGCCACCUAGUCACCAA
Molecule: microRNA precursor, 61 nt
Filed under: Callithrix jacchus (white-tufted-ear marmoset)
Lineage: Eukaryota; Metazoa; Chordata; Mammalia; Primates; Cebidae
Also listed under: 1 other name
Description: Cja-Mir-134_pre stem-loop
Rfam family: mir-134 microRNA precursor family
Source: RNAcentral